AGAGUUUGAUCAUGGCUCAGAUUGAACGCUGGCGGCAGGCCUAACACAUGCAAGUCGAACGGUAACAGGAAGAAGCUUGCUUCUUUGCUGACGAGUGGCGGACGGGUGAGUAAUGUCUGGGAAACUGCCUGAUGGAGGGGGAUAACUUACUGGAAACGGUAGCUAAUACCGCAUAACGUCGCAAGACCAAAGAGGGGGACCUUCGGGCCUCUUGCCAUCGGAUGUGCCCAGAUGGGAUUAGCUAGUAGGUGGGGUAACGGCUCACCUAGGCGACGAUCCCUAGCUGGUCUGAGAGGAUGACCAGCCACACUGGAACUGAGACACGGUCCAGACUCCUACGGGAGGCAGCAGUGGGGAAUAUUGCACAAUGGGCGCAAGCCUGAUGCAGCCAUGCCGCGUGUAUGAAGAAGGCCUUCGGGUUGUAAAGUACUUUCAGCGGGGAGGAAGGGAGUAAAGUUAAUACCUUUGCUCAUUGACGUUACCCGCAGAAGAAGCACCGGCUAAUUCCGUGCCAGCAGCCGCGGUAAUACGGAGGGUGCAAGCGUUAAUCGGAAUUACUGGGCGUAAAGCGCACGCAGGCGGUUUGUUAAGUCAGAUGUGAAAUCCCCGGGCUCAACCUGGGAACUGCAUCUGAUACUGGCAAAGCUUGAGUCUCGUAGAGGGGGGUAGAAUUCCAGGUGUAGCGGUGAAAUGCGUAGAGAUCUGGAGGAAUACCGGUGGCGAAGGCGGCCCCCUGGACGAAGACUGACGCUCAGGUGCGAAAGCGUGGGGAGCAAACAGGAUUAGAUACCCUGGUAGUCCACGCCGUAAACGAUGUCGACUUGGAGGUUGUGCCCUUGAGGCGUGGCUUCCGGAGCUAACGCGUUAAGUCGACCGCCUGGGGAGUACGGCCGCAAGGUUAAAACUCAAAUGAAUUGACGGGGGCCCGCACAAGCGGUGGAGCAUGUGGUUUAAUUCGAUGCAACGCGAAGAACCUUACCUGGUCUUGACAUCCACGGAAGUUUUCAGAGAUGAGAAUGUGCCUUCGGGAACCGUGAGACAGGUGCUGCAUGGCUGUCGUCAGCUCGUGUUGUGAAAUGUUGGGUUAAGUCCCGCAACGAGCGCAACCCUUAUCCUUUGUUGCCAGCGGUCCGGCCGGGAACUCAAAGGAGACUGCCAGUGAUAAACUGGAGGAAGGUGGGGAUGACGUCAAGUCAUCAUGGCCCUUACGACCAGGGCUACACACGUGCUACAAUGGCGCAUACAAAGAGAAGCGACCUCGCGAGAGCAAGCGGACCUCAUAAAGUGCGUCGUAGUCCGGAUUGGAGUCUGCAACUCGACUCCAUGAAGUCGGAAUCGCUAGUAAUCGUGGAUCAGAAUGCCACGGUGAAUACGUUCCCGGGCCUUGUACACACCGCCCGUCACACCAUGGGAGUGGGUUGCAAAAGAAGUAGGUAGCUUAACCUUCGGGAGGGCGCUUACCACUUUGUGAUUCAUGACUGGGGUGAAGUCGUAACAAGGUAACCGUAGGGGAACCUGCGGUUGGAUCACCU
RNAcentral lists this ribosomal RNA (1532 nucleotides) under Escherichia coli. Its description in RNAcentral is "bacterial SSU rRNA". It matches the Rfam family "Bacterial small subunit ribosomal RNA". Lineage: Bacteria; Pseudomonadati; Pseudomonadota; Gammaproteobacteria; Enterobacterales; Enterobacteriaceae. The record is from RNAcentral.